GCCCGGGUAGCUCAAUUGGCUAGAGCGUCGGACUUUUAAUCCACUCAAUUGUAGAGGAAAAGGUCCAUCCGAAGGUUGGGGGUUCGAGACCCCCCUCGGGCG
Camillea tinctor is the source of this 102-nucleotide non-coding RNA. Lineage: Eukaryota; Fungi; Ascomycota; Sordariomycetes; Xylariales; Graphostromataceae. The record is from the annotation of a GenBank genome assembly.